CAGUCGAGCGGGCAUCCUUCGGGAUGUUAGCGGCGGACGGGUGAGUAACGCGUGGGAACGUGCCCUUUGCUACGGAAUAGCCUCGGGAAACUGAGAGUAAUACCGUAUGUGCCCUUCGGGGGAAAGAUUUAUCGGCAAAGGAUCGGCCCGCGUUGGAUUAGGUAGUUGGUAGGGUAAUGGCCUACCAAGCCGACGAUCCAUAGCUGGUUUGAGAGGAUGAUCAGCCACACUGGGACUGAGACACGGCCCAGACUCCUACGGGAGGCAGCAGUGGGGAAUCUUAGACAAUGGGGGAAACCCUGAUCUAGCCAUGCCGCGUGAGCGAUGAAGGCCUUAGGGUUGUAAAGCUCUUUCAGUGGGGAAGAUAAUGACGGUACCCACAGAAGAAGCCCCGGCUAACUCCGUGCCAGCAGCCGCGGUAAUACGGAGGGGGCUAGCGUUGUUCGGAAUUACUGGGCGUAAAGCGCACGUAGGCGGAUUGGAAAGUCAGAGGUGAAAUCCCAGGGCUCAACCUUGGAACUGCCUUUGAAACUCCCAGUCUUGAGGUCGAGAGAGGUGAGUGGAAUUCCGAGUGUAGAGGUGAAAUUCGUAGAUAUUCGGAGGAACACCAGUGGCGAAGGCGGCUCACUGGCUCGAUACUGACGCUGAGGUGCGAAAGCGUGGGGGAGCAAACAGGAUUAGAUACCCUGGUAGUCCACGCCCUAAACGAUGAAUGCCAGACGUCGGGCAGCAUGCUGUUCGGUGUCACACCUAACGGAUUAAGCAUUCCGCCUGGGGAGUACGGCCGCAAGGUUAAAACUCAAAGGAAUUGACGG
This 815-nucleotide ribosomal RNA is filed under the name uncultured bacterium. RNAcentral describes it as "bacterial SSU rRNA". It matches the Rfam family "Bacterial small subunit ribosomal RNA", at positions 59 to 916 of the family's 1533-position model. The record is from RNAcentral.